RNAcentral lists this ribosomal RNA (380 nucleotides) under uncultured eukaryote. Its description in RNAcentral is "partial 18S ribosomal RNA". It matches the Rfam family "Eukaryotic small subunit ribosomal RNA", at positions 592 to 976 of the family's 1831-position model. The record is from RNAcentral.
CAAUAGCGUAUAUUAAAGUUGUUGCGGUAAAAAAGCUCGUAGUUGGAUUUCUGUUGAGGGCGACCGGUCCGUACUUGGUACGUGCAUCUGGCUUCGGCCUCGGCAUCCUCUCGGAACACGUUUCUGCGCUUUGUUGCGUGGGGCGGAUUCCGGGACUUUUACUUUGAGGAAAUUAGAGUGUUCACGGCAGGCUAACGCCAGAAUACUGUAGCAUGGAAUAAUACUAUAGGAUCUUGAUUCUAUUUUGUUGGUUUCUAGAGUCGGGAUAAUGAUUAAUAGGGACAAUUGGGGGCAUUCGUAUCAACACGUCAGAGGUGGAAUUCUUGGAUUGUGUUGCGACGAACUACUGCGAAAGCAUUUGCCAAGGAUGUUUUCAUUGA